UUCCUCAGUAGCUCAGUGGUAGAGCGAUCGGCUGUUAACCGAUUGGUCGUAGGUUCAAAUCCUUCCUGAGGAGU
This 74-nucleotide transfer RNA is filed under the name Symphyocladia marchantioides. Its description in RNAcentral is "tRNA-Asn". It matches the Rfam family "tRNA". Rfam says of the family: Transfer RNA (tRNA) molecules are approximately 80 nucleotides in length. The record is from RNAcentral. RNAcentral also lists the same sequence under 6 other names. Lineage: Eukaryota; Rhodophyta; Florideophyceae; Ceramiales; Rhodomelaceae.